This 274-nucleotide ribosomal RNA is filed under the name uncultured bacterium. Its description in RNAcentral is "partial 16S ribosomal RNA". It matches the Rfam family "Bacterial small subunit ribosomal RNA", at positions 523 to 796 of the family's 1533-position model. The record is from RNAcentral.
AUACGAAGGGGGCUAGCGUUGUUCGGAAUUACUGGGCGUAAAGCGCACGUAGGCGGAUUGAUUCGUUAGGGGUGAAAUCCCGAGGCUCAACCUCGGAACUGCCUCUAAAACUGUCAAUCUCGAGACCGGAAGAGGUGAGUGGAACUCCUAGUGUAGAGGUGGAAUUCGUAGAUAUUAGGAAGAACACCAGUGGCGAAGGCGGCUCACUGGUCCGGUACUGACGCUGAGGUGCGAAAGCGUGGGGAGCGAACAGGAUUAGAAACCCUAGUAGUCC